Non-coding RNA from Macrostomum lignano, 1823 nucleotides. Lineage: Eukaryota; Metazoa; Platyhelminthes; Macrostomidae. The record is from Rfam.
UGACCUCGGAUCAGACGUGAUUACCCGCUGAAUUUAAGCAUAUUAUUAAGCGGAGGAAAAGAAACUAACAAGGAUUCCCCUAGUAACGGCGAGUGAACGGGGAAGAGCCAACACCGAAUCCCUUGGCGCAAGUCAACGGGAAAUGUGGUGUUAAGGUAGCCCUUCGUGUCAGUCUAGGCGUCUCAAGUCCACCUGAUUGUGGCUCAAGCCCAGAGAGGGUGUAAGGCCCGUAGAGACGCUCCGACUGAUUUCCUGGGGUUUACCUACGAGUCGGCUUGUUUGGGAAUGCAGGCCAAAGCGGGUGGUAAACUCCAUCCAAGGCUAAAUACUGCUGCACGAGUCCGAUAGCGGACAAGUACCGUGAGGGAAAGUUGAAAAGAACUUUGAAGAGAGAGUUCAAUAGUAACGUGAAACCGCUUAGAGGCAAACGGAUGGUGCUCAUACUGGCCUGAGGAAUUCAACUGUGACGGUGGCUGGACGAGCUGGCGUUCCGAUCUCUCUUUUGGGACGGGCGUCGGUUUGGCUAUCAGCUCCGACAUGGUGCACUUUCCUUGGUGCCUCCGCCACGACCGACGACACUGGCUACCGCGGCUGGGGUAAGGUGACAAACUGCUUCGGCAAUUUGUGUUAUAGACCCCGGCGUCGGACAUGGUUUGGCCAGGACGUCGAGCUUGCGGCGCCCGCUCCUUGUGGGCUCGCAUGUUGGCUAGCUUGGCUGCGCCGAUGCUUGCACUGGACAACCAGUACAGGUGACGGUUGUGGGUCUUGUCUCUAGUUGGCUCUGCGAGUUUUGGCGCCUAUAGUCUGUGGUGUACUUGUGGGUAGACUAUCCGACCCGUCUUGAAACACGGACCAAGGAGUCUAACAUGUGCGCGAGUCAUGGGGAUUCUACGAAACCCAAAGGCGCAGUGAAAGUAAAGGCCUGCUUCUCGUAGGCUGAGGUGGGAUCUCGUGCAUCGCGAUUGGCGAGCGCACCACCGGCCCGUCCUAUCUGUCUCUGUCAGUGGGCGGCGCAAGAGCGUACACGUUGGGACCGCGAAAGAUGGUGAACUAUGCUUGCGCAGCUCGAAGUCAGUGGAAACACUGAUGGAGGAGCGCAGCGUUUCUGACGUGCAAAUCGAUCGUCAAACGUGAGUAUAGGGGCGAAAGACUAAUCGAACCAUCUAGUAGCUGGUUCCCUCCGAAGUUUCCCUCAGGAUAGCUGGCACUCGGGAAACAGUUUUAUCGGCGUAAAGCGAAUGAUUAGAGGCAUUGGGGUCGAAACGACCUCGACCUAUUCUCAAACUUUAAAUGGGUAAGAUGCUCGUCUCGCUUAAUUGGAGGCGGGCUUCACCUCUCUAUAAACGUGAAUGUGAGUGCCCAGUGGGCCAUUUUUGGUUAAGCAGAACUGGCGCCUGUGGGAUAACCAAACGCGCGGUUAAGGGCCCAAUGCGGAACGCUCAUGAGACACCACAAAAGGUGUUGGUCGAUACUGACAGCAGGACGGUGGCCAUGGAAGUCGGGAACCCGCUAAAGGAGUGUGUAACAACUCACACUGCCGAAUCAACCAGCCCUGAAAAUGGAUGGCGCUGGAGCGUCGGGCCUAUUACCGUGCCGUUUGGGGCGAAGCAGACAAAUAAUCUGUGUGGAUGUCCCAACGAGUAGGAGGGUCGCCGUGUCGGUGAGCGCCAGAAGGUGCGGCCGUGUGAGGCCGGCUGGAGCCGCCAGGCGAGCAGAUCUUGGUGCCGUAGUAGCAAUUAACUCAAGUGAGAACCUUGAGGACUGAAGUGGAGAAGGGUUCCAUGUGAACACAGUUGAACAUGGGUCAGGGCGGUCCUAAGCGA